Molecule: ribosomal RNA, 733 nt
Filed under: Bacillus tequilensis
Lineage: Bacteria; Bacillati; Bacillota; Bacilli; Caryophanales; Bacillaceae
Description: bacterial SSU rRNA
Rfam family: Bacterial small subunit ribosomal RNA
Source: RNAcentral
GCUAUACAUGCAAGUCGAGCGGACAGAUGGGAGCUUGCUCCCUGAUGUUAGCGGCGGACGGGUGAGUAACACGUGGGUAACCUGCCUGUAAGACUGGGAUAACUCCGGGAAACCGGGGCUAAUACCGGAUGGUUGUUUGAACCGCAUGGUUCAAACAUAAAAGGUGGCUUCGGCUACCACUUACAGAUGGACCCGCGGCGCAUUAGCUAGUUGGUGAGGUAACGGCUCACCAAGGCAACGAUGCGUAGCCGACCUGAGAGGGUGAUCGGCCACACUGGGACUGAGACACGGCCCAGACUCCUACGGGAGGCAGCAGUAGGGAAUCUUCCGCAAUGGACGAAAGUCUGACGGAGCAACGCCGCGUGAGUGAUGAAGGUUUUCGGAUCGUAAAGCUCUGUUGUUAGGGAAGAACAAGUACCGUUCGAAUAGGGCGGUACCUUGACGGUACCUAACCAGAAAGCCACGGCUAACUACGUGCCAGCAGCCGCGGUAAUACGUAGGUGGCAAGCGUUGUCCGGAAUUAUUGGGCGUAAAGGGCUCGCAGGCGGUUUCUUAAGUCUGAUGUGAAAGCCCCCGGCUCAACCGGGGAGGGUCAUUGGAAACUGGGGAACUUGAGUGCAGAAGAGGAGAGUGGAAUUCCACGUGUAGCGGUGAAAUGCGUAGAGAUGUGGAGGAACACCAGUGGCGAAGGCGACUCUCUGGUCUGUAACUGACGCUGAGGAGCGAAAGCGUG